UUCGAGUGAUGAGACGGUUCUCCAUAUCCUGUGGCAGUGCCCUUUAGCACGAAAUGUAUGGGCUCUUGUCAAAGGAAAAUUGCAGAAGAGUGACUCCUCGGCUAGGACGUUCUUCAGCUUAGCCCAAUCUUUAAAGGGAAGGUUGUCCCGCAAAGAAUUUGAGUUGUGGGCCAUGGUGACAUGGUCCAUAUGGAACGCGUGAAAUAGAUUUUACUUUGAAGCGUCUCAAACCCCGCCGCAUGCAAUACUCAAGAGUGCAGAAACGUUAUUGGACGAAUACCAACGUUUCACUCGUAGCAGGCCUACCAUCUGAGCACCUGAGUGUGCUACCCUCACUUUUGUGAUUCUUGCAUACAUUUUACUUUAUAGUUUUAUUUUCCUUUUGAUUUAUAGUUUUCUUUUCCUUUUGAUUGUAUUGACUGUUGGGGUCUGGUCUGUGGGAGCCACCCCUACAGCAGACUUUGUACUCCUUCAGUUUUUUUAAUAUACUUCUAUCUAUUUUCAAAAUAAAAUAAAAAACUUCUGUCCGGAGGUGCCGAAAAAAAAGUGAUUUACGCCACCCAAUUAAUGAAAGCCACGUCAUUAUUUUACAGAAAAAUCAAUACACCCCAGCACACACAAUCAUAACUCAUUAAAUCUACAAUCAUCCUCACACACGAUAGUUUCAGAUCUGGAGAGCUAAACCCCAAAUCUCCUCUCCUCCUCUCUUCUUAGCACCGGAGCUCUACGCCGCCACAUACACCGCCGCACGCGUCCUUCCUGCGUCUGAAAAUUAUGUCGGAGCCUUCGCAAGUGUGGUGUCACUACCUCAAGCUGUGAUGCAGAUAGAUGGUUUUGAAUACUUCAAAGGAAAACUGCCCUACUGUCUUGAAUGAAUUCUUGGAGUAUGUGGCUAAGAUUAGUGCACAAUCUGUCAUCCAACGGCGGCAUGGAAAUGAAUCCUAAAAAUCCUGUUUUUUGGAGAGCAAUUGAAUCAUCAAAACUUUCUGAAACUUUCAUAUUAAUGUAUUGUGAAUUAGAAACUUUUAGAAAGAAUUGUGAUAGGUUCUAUUUAAAUAUAUUUCCAAUCGUAUGAUCCUCUUUUGUAUACUGAAACCGCGACAGGUUUUAUUGCAAAUGUAUUUGCAAUCCUGUGAUCCUCUUUUUGUACAAUAUAUCACGACAGCUUUCAUUUCAAAUGUAUUUCCAAUCUUGUGAUCUU
Molecule: long non-coding RNA, 1201 nt
Organism: Quercus robur (English oak)
Lineage: Eukaryota; Viridiplantae; Streptophyta; Magnoliopsida; Fagales; Fagaceae
Exons: 2
Source: RefSeq, a predicted model, not a curated record